AUUAAACGCUAGCGGCAUGCCUUACACAUGCAAGUCGAACGGCAGCGGGCUUUUCGGAGCGCCGGCGAGUGGCAAACGGGUGAGUAAUACAUCGGAACAUGCCCAUUAGUGGGGGAUAGCUCGGCGAAAGCCGAAUUAAUACCGCAUACGACCUUCGGGUGAAAGGGGGGGAUCUUCGGACCUCUCGCUAUUGGAGUGGCCGAUGGCUGAUUAGUUUGUUGGUGGGGUAACGGCCUACCAAGACUGCGAUCAGUAGCUGGUCUGAGAGGACGAUCAGCCACACUGGGACUGCGACACGGCCCAGACUCCUACGGGAGGCAGCAGUGGGGAAUCUUGGACAAUGGGCGAAAGCCUGAUCCAGCAAUGCCGCGUGUGCGAUGAAGGCUUUCGGGUUGUAAAGCACUUUUAUCAGGGAAGAAAUGGUUUGGGAUAAUACCUCAAAUAGCUGACGGUACCUGAAGAAUAAGCACCGGCUAACUACGUGCCAGCAGCCGCGGUAAUACGUAGGGUGCAAGCGUUAAUCGGAAUUACUGGGCGUAAAGCGUGCGCAGGCGGUUUGCUAAGACAGGUGUGAAAUCCCCGGGCUCAACCCGGGAACUGCAUCUGUGACUAGCAGACUAGAGUUUGGCAGAGGGGGGUGGAAUUCCUGGUGUAGCAGUGAAAUGCGUAGAUAUCAGGAGGAACACCGAUGGCGAAGGCAGCCCCCUGGGCCACCACUGACGCUCAUGCACGAAAGCGUGGGGAGCAAACAGGAUUAGAUACCCUGGUAGUCCACGCCCUAAACGAUGUCAACUAGUUGUUGGAUCUUUUUUGAUUUGGUAACGAAGCUAACGCGUGAAGUUGACCGCCUGGGGAGUACGGCCGCAAGGUUA
Molecule: ribosomal RNA, 872 nt
Filed under: uncultured marine bacterium
Lineage: Bacteria
Description: bacterial SSU rRNA
Rfam family: Bacterial small subunit ribosomal RNA
Source: RNAcentral